GUUUUUUUUCUCUUCCUUUAAGAUAUUACAUGUUGGGUUGUUGUGUUGAUGCACCAGUGGAUUGGUGUUGUGAAGAAUCUGAUAUUAGCAAAGGGAUAAUGUCUACAUCAAGUGGACUAGAAAAUGUGCAUUAUGAGGGAUCCAAGUUACAUGCAUUUGAAAAGAUUUGUCAGAGUACUGUGCAGCCAAAGAAACAUAGUAAGUUUCCUCGUGCAUAUCGUAUUAAUGGGGAAAAGAAGGUACAUACCGGGAAAAUGAGAUAUCUACCUGUUGAAGAAGCACUUGGUCUUUCAUCAAGCAUCAAGAAAUAUGGAUCUACGCUGAUAAAUACGGUAUCCUCAAGAGUUGUGUCAACCAAAUCCAUAGCAACCAUGACUCGAGGGAUUUUUGGCAAGCCUAGAGCUCAAAUUUCAAACUCUUUUUGUGAGAAGAGCAAAGUGCAGCUUCCUUUAGCAUCAACAGGAUAUACUAAACCUCAAAAUCUUCGAAUUGCCAAAAACAUUGAACAUAGCAAAAAAAUGUUCAAUUAUCUAAAGGUUAAGUGUUCACCACAAUAUUUUGUAUUAAUUACUUGAUUUGAUUUGUCCUCUUCUUAUACUUUUAUUCUUCAGAAAUUUCAUUUUCUAGCAUAUACUCUGAAUAGUUUUUAAAAAAAAUGAUGUUGACAUAUCUAGAGUUGUUAUUAUCUUUCAAAAUAAUUUCCGUUACACCAUCAACAUCUAUAAAGCUUUCAUAGAAAAAAUUCUUUACUUCUGUACUUCCAUCAAAUUGAUGUAGUCUAUUUUUUAGGUUUGGGUGGUUCUACCAGUCUUGAGCAUACGAUCCUGAUGAUUUGAAUAAGAGUCGAAUAAUGAAUUCAUCUACGACUUACCCUUGUGAUCCUUCUCUAGUUCCUUCCCGGAAGUAAGUACCCUUAAUCGUGUACAAUUAUUACUAAUUCAAAUUUAGCUCAUGUCUGUUUCUGGAUGGCCCAUCUUUGCUAGUAGUCAGCUGACUGAUUAACUACUCUUUGUAAUUUCCUUAUUGAUAAAUAUGAAAACAUAUAUAAUACAUUUUUUCAACAACAUAAUGUUGGUCCAUAAGGAUAUGGCCUAGUGGUUAAGGCAUAAGACUAACAACUUGGACAUUCUAGUUUUGAAUCCCAGCUACAACACAUUGUGCGCCCAUCUGAUCUAGCUUUAUUGUGUCAAUAUGUACUUGUGAGAUGGACAAGUUGCCCAAUGAAUUAGUUGGGGUACAUGCAAUUUGAUUGGAACGCCAUUAGUAUUGCUAAAAUAAUGAGUAGGGCACUGAAGAAUAUAUGGCAUAAUGAUAAUCUGAAUGUGUACCGCUUAGUUAGAUGAUAAAUGAUCUAAUCUCUCUUUCUUUUUUUACAUUUCAGGGGAAGUUUUGACAUCUUAGGUGCUUUGGAAAUUUUACCUGGGAUGCUCAAUAGUUGUAUCCAGGCUCAUCCUUCUUCUAGAGUUAGACGUAAGGUGUAUGAGUUCUCAGGUCUUGUGCCUGAUACUCUUAAAUUUGAACUUGUUCCCCGUGGGGAUAUUUGGGAAAGUAUAUUUAACAACCAUAUUCCGAGUAAAGAAGAUAUAGGACUGUAUUUUUUUGCAAGUGAGAAAAAAAGGUCAGCUUCUGCCUUAUAUAUCUAUCCGUAAAGGGGCAAGGGAUUGCAAAGUAGAAGUCCCCCCUUGCAAAGGAACGUUUUUACUAGAAAUUGAUUCUCAUUUCCCAUUAUAUGUAGGUCUGAGAGAUAUAUUGCUCUAGUGAAGUUCAUGCGUAGCAAAGAAUUGGUGAUGAGAAUGAUUAUAAAUGACGUUGAGCUCUUUAUACUUGCAUCCACAGCCCUGUGCAGUGAUUUUCAAAGUACGUCUAUAAUUUCUAUGUUUUUCUCAUUUUCAAUGAUUUUUUAGGUUGUACAUUUACCUGUGUAUGCAGAUUAUUAUGCCUUUGGAAAGUGGGGAUACUUGUUUGGUUUCAUUUGUGCACAUUUUCAAUGAUUUUUUAGGUUGUACAUUUACCUGUGUAUGCAGAUUAUUAUGCCUUUUGAAAGUGGGGAUACUAGUUUGGUUUCAUUUGUGCAUCAAGGUUUUUGCUCUAUAACGGAUUAUCCAAAAGAAGAUGUUAACGGCAGCUAGAGUGUGUCUAAUGGUAUAACAUUUAAGUAAAAUAACAAACUUAAAUAGAAUAUUUGGAAUGCGCUGGUGGAUAUGUUUCUGUUAUAUAUUAUGAAAGAAGACGAGAACUUGAUUUUGCUGGUUAUAAUUUAGCUUUCCGUAUUUGAUGACAUUUUGUCUCCACAUAUCAUUUUGUUCAUAUGGUAAUCUUAAUUCCAAUUAAGGGUCUGUCAACUUCUAAAUUUCUUAUGUUUUCUAUGUGUACUUGCAGAAAAAAAUUGUGAAAUUUGCGGUGAUACAGGUUUUGAAAAAGCAAUUCUACAUGUUAUCAGUGUAACAAUGUUGACGUGCAUCGGUAAUUAUCUCUCCCUCCUUCUUUUUCUCUCUCUGUCUUUUCUUAGCAUGAAAAGGUAGACAAUCAGUUAGAAAAUCUGAAAGCCAUGACUCUCUAUCAAGCUUCAUCACCUUGUGUCAAAUCUAUAUGUUCUUUGUAAACCUCAAACAUUGGCCCAAUCCCAAACCCUCUUUUAUUUAGUUUACUUGCCAUUUCUAAGAGAGAAGUUGAUCCUUUUACACAAGGGGUUGUUCCACUUGAAGGAAAUUGCUAGUUAGAUUAUCAGUUUUGCUUUCUUUUUUGAAUUUUUUUUUGCAUGUUGUGGGAUUUAAUUCUCAUAAAUACUGCUUGUAUCUUUUAUGCAUACAUAAUCCUCUUCUUGUUUUAAAAAAAUUCUGCUUUUUUCUCUUCUUUUCAGAUAUUGCAUGCUGGGAUAUUAUGUUGAUGCACCAAUGGAUUGGUGUUGUGAAGAAUGUGAUAUUGACAAAGGGAUAAUGUCUUCAUCAAGUGGACUAGAAAAUGUGCAUUAUGAGGGAUCCAAGUUACAUCCUUGUGAAAAGAUUUGUCAGAGUACUGUGCAACCAAAGAAACAUAGUAAGUUUCCUGAUGGACAUCGUAUUAACUGGGAAAAGGUGGUACAGACCUGGAAAAUGAGAUAUCUACCUGUUGAAGAAGCACUUGGUCUGUCAUUAAGCAUCAAGAAAUAUGGAUCUCCGCUGAUAAAUACGGUCUCCUCAAAAGUUGUGUCAACCAAAUCCAUGGCAACCGUGACUCGAGGGAUUUUUACCAAGCCUAGAGCUCAAAAUUCUUCCUGAUGAAUGCCUUUUUGAGAUUUUCAAACGUCUUUCCAGUGGUCAAAAGAGAAGUGCUAGUGCUUGUGUUCCCAAGUGAUGGCUUACACUUUUAAGCAACAUUCGCAAGGAUGAGAUUGCAAAAUUUAAUGGAUAUCUUAACAUGUCCUUUGUUGGUAGGAAAGCCAUAGAUGUAACACUUGCUGCUAUUGCUGUUGGAACUGCAAACUGUGGAGGUUUAGCAAAGUUAUCCAUUCAGGGAAAUAACCUUUAUCGUGGUGUGACUGAUGUUGGUCUCAAGGCUAUCGCUCAAGGUUGCCCUACUCUCAAAGAACUUUCCUUAUCGAAUGUGUCAUUUGUUGGUGAUGAAGGCUUGUCUGAGAUUGCUCAUGGUUGUCAUCUAUUAGAGAAGCUUGAUCUUUUCCAAUGCCCAAGAAUUACUAAUAAGUCCUUGUUAGGUAUAGCAAAGAAUUGUCUCAAUCUCAACUCUGUCAACGAAUGAUUGUUCAUAUAUUGAGAAUGAGUCUCUCAAAAUUAUGGGUCAAUAUUGCCUGAACCUUAAGCUUGUUGGAUUAAAAAUGUCCUUGAGUAGGCAAUGCUACCAUUGAUGUAAUACAUAGACUAUGUCACAAAUUAAUUCAUCUAGAGCUGAAUGGGCUUCUUCGUAUAACGUCAGUGUUAAGCUUGUGAUGAUUUGUUCAUGUCCGAGUCUUAUGUAUUUGUCUUUUUAUAAUAGUAAUAUCCAGUGAAUUUAAUUUCAAAAUUUCUAAUUAUAAUAUCUAGCAAUGUCUAAUCUUUGCGACUAAAAAAUCAUUUUUAUUUACUAGAUAAAGAAGAAAACUUAAUUGGUUAUUAUAAAUCUCUUAAUACAAGUAAUAGUACUAUCUAAGAAUGAUAACUUUUUAGCUUGCCUUGUAUGUGACAGUGAAAGUCGGAUCAAAGCACCACAAGUGCUAUGAAGAGAGGUGAUUUACAAUAAAUUAGACCAUCAACGUAAAUUUUGUCAAUUCAUGGUAAAGUUUAUCAAUACAUUUAGCUUAAUUAAAAUAAUGAAAAUUUGUAUAGGUGAUUUCAACUUAUACAAGGAUUGGGUUUUAUUUAGAGUGAGUUAAGUUCUGAACAAAUUUAUUUAUUUAUUUUUUACAGCUAUCAUAUCAUUAAAUUGGUAUCGAAAAAUUAUAUUUUCAAUUAAAAAGGAAUGCGAGGAUAACUAAUUAAUCAACUAUAUAAAUCAUUUGGAUUGGUUGCGCUCUAUUUAGGUCUAUAUAUUAAAUUAAAGAUUCACCUUAAAUUGUUCAUUUUUUAUAGGAUAAAUUUCUUAAAUGAUCACUAGCUUAAUUGAAUAGUAAAAUCACUUAUUUAUUGUCAUAUCAAUAAUAUCACACCAAUAGGAAAACAAUUUCAACACUAAUCUCAACUUAUUCAAUUCCAAAUCAUCUAUUAGUAUUUUUAAGAAACUUAUUUUCCAUAGAAUAUUUUUCUCCGUACCAAAAACAUUUCUCUAAUAUUAUGACUGUUCUUAUAGGCUACUAAAAUAUUUCCAACAAAAAGCAAUUUGCUAUUAGCUAUUCAAUUUGGUCCAAUCAUUUUAAUAUGUCAAUCAAUCUAUUUGGAAAACCUACCAAUUCUAUAGGAGGAAAAAGCCAUAAUUGUGGUUCCUAUUGAAAGGAAUAAUUGUCUUUUUAUUAAGAACGGUGUUCGAUUCAACUUGUGCACACCUAGAUAGCCUGUGGGAACUUGCUACAUCCUACGAGCACAGUCGAGUUGAAAGAAAUCACCUAGGGUGGUGGCUAGCUCUGACAUCAUAGUUUCAACCCAAGGAGAACCACACCCCAAAAAAACACUAUUGAGGUGGGAGAGACCGACCCCGAGGCUAUAUAAACCCCACAUCAACACUUUGCAGUAUCAAUAUGGGACUUGCAAUGGACCAUAACACAAAAGUUCAUACUAGAAAACAGCUCCAAUAAAGUACAUGGUCUUUUUACUUUUUAUAACAGAGAAAUCGCAAAGGUCCAGAGGGGCACGAUUCGAAACUCAGAGGAUAAGGUGACUACACUACACUGACUCGAGGGAGGAAAAGAUUCAUAAUACCUGAACAAAGCUAGAGCAUCAUGUAAUGUAUAUGUAAUUUAUAAAUACACCUUAAUAAACAAGCAACAACCAUUUGGUUCAACAGAACAGUUUCAGCAGCCAGUAUUGUCCCCAGUUUUCUGCAACUGCAAAGUACUCAACUAGUAGAAAAGACAAAAAUUCUUAAGGAUUUCUGGCUACUCAACAUUUAGAUAACAGAGGCAAGCAGUCUGCAUAUUUCUGAUGACCACACUCAGCAAUCUUGAAAGAAGAUAGACCACUACAAAUUCAACCGUGCUGCGCUGACUAUAGACAAAAUGGUGAUGUUUGACCAGUACAAUAUCAAGUGCAUUCAUUUCUCAUCUUAUUCAUACCUUUGCAAUACUUCAGGCAAAGAGCGAAUGAAGAUUGCUCCAUGAGUAUAUAUUCGACUUCAGUGGUUGCUUCUAAUGCUCGAUUGUGACGUGUUCCUGCACCAGAUUAGUCUCUAUUCGAGCUUUAACACCAGUCUCAGUCUGGCUCGGUUCAACAACUGAUACAAUCUCACACUCUUGACCAUCUGCGUCAAAUUCAGUAGCUUGCUUGUGUUGGUUAUUUGAUUGAGAAGAAACUUCACUUGUUUCCUUGGGUAAAGCAUUCAGCAGAGAUGCAGCUUCAGUUGAUUCCUUGGAUGAGCUAGACUUGCGAAUGGAAAGCUUUCUUGUUUCAUUGGAUAAGUUGGUUUUCUCAGAUGGCAGCUUAGGAAGUGACUUCCUUUGAGGCUUCUUAACAAUGAGAGGAGAAUGCCCUUUGACAGGGUUACUUUGGGAUGCAUUUUCGUCCAAGCUUAACCUACCUGGGCGCAUGACACUCUCAUUGAUUCUUUCUUUGGUGGGCGAGCUCUUUCUCCUCCCAAGUUUGGGGGAUUUAGCUCUGGUUGGUGGAAUCUAGCAUCAUAAGAUAGUGACAGAAGGUGUUAAUUAAACACCGGGAUAACUUGUAAAUUUCAAAAUAAACAGGAAGAAUAAACUACUUUAGGAGGGGCUUCAGCUGUACAUAAACAAAACUAGCAAGUAAGAAAGCAAAUAUUAGAAAAUUUCUUUAGAUAAAACGCACAAGAGCAUGACAUACCAGCAUCCUAGCAUGACCAGCAAAGGUAAGGCAUCAAAUUCAGGUUAAGAUAGAUAUAUUUUACAAAUGUAUAGGGCAGCCUGGCACACUAAGCUCCCGUUAUGUGGGGGUCCAGACCUACACAGCCUUAUCCUGCAUUUCUACAAGAGGUUGUUUCCACAGCUCGAACCCGUGACCUCUUGAUCAUGUGGCAGAAACUUUACUAGUUACGCCAAGACUCCCCUUCAUUUUAGAUAUGUAUAGAUACAAAAUAUACAUGCACAUGAUAAAUAGGGGCAGAUGUAGACAUAUAUACCAGAAUUUCCCUUCAGAACAGAUAAUUUUUGCUCAACACUUUGGAGAGAUUGACACAAGAUAGAAGUAUUUCCGCAUACUAUCUAGUUUCCCAACUCCAUUUCUUUGCCAACUGAAUAGUGAAGUGCCUGAAGGGAGCUCCUAAAUCAUCUCAUACCACCUACUUAUAAAAGCUAGCUUUGACCAUAACUUGCCUGCUUGACCCAUUAACAUUUCCUGAUCUUAAGUAGAGUAGAUGGAGGAACUAUAAUUUAUGAUUGUUAUGGUGAUUAAGGACGGCAUGUAGUGUUUAUAGCACAAAAGAGAGUGCUUUCAAGAAAUAAUAAAUAAUGAUCCAAAGCUAAGAGAAAUUUUACCUAGUCUUAGAUUUACUGAAUCAGGAAUAUAUCUAGCCUAUGAUGAACUGUCAAGAACCACAUGUGUACUCUUCACAUUUCUAUCAUGCUUAACCACUUUGCAUCUCACUGAGUUUGCUUACAAUAAGAGUCACUAAUCCAGUAUUAAGAUAGCACCUUAUGAGGCUCUGUACAGGAUGCAUUGUAAAUCUCUCACUGCUGGUUUGGGCCAAGGGAGAGGAGGCUCUUGGGACCAAAUUGAGUACAUGAAUCCUUGAAAAAGGUUCAGUUCAUUAGGAAAGGACUAAAAACAGAUCAAAUGGGUAAAAGUCGUACACUGACAAAAGAAUUAGAGAGUUUGAUAUCAUGCUUGGUACAACGAGUGUUUGUGAAGGUAUCAUCCAUGAAGGGUAUCACGAUGUAAGAAAAGAAAGGAGAGAUAUGCCCGAGAUUCAUGGAUCCUAAGCAUCAUUGAGUGUGUGUGUAGGUGCAAUCGUGUACCUGUAGACACUACCGCUAGAAUUUACAACUUUACACCCAGUCUUUCAUGCAUCGCCUAUUAAGUGUAUACAUGAUCCCAUGCACAUCAUAUUAGCUGCCUUUGGCCCAGCUAAGUCAGCAAAGUAGCACUUAAAAUAUGAACAUCGUCCCUCUUACAAAACCAGACCUUAGUAGCCUUUGUCCCAACUGUCUGCAAACUAGCACUUAAAACAACGGUCCCAUCUGUGUCAGCAAAAGGUCAGCCCUUCAGUGCUAAAGAUCUAUCAGGUCCAACCAUCCAACAAUUUCACUAACAAAUAAGAGCCAUAACAAUUUCACAAUGUUGAGAUGGCACACUAACGAGAGAGGAUUGAUUCCAAGACUAACUUUUCCACAAUUUAACUUGCAUAUAGUGUCCCUUUUAAAGUGAACAGGUAAUGAAGUUGACCUUGUCUGAUACUUAUCCAGGAAAAAAGUAAAAGGUUGACCUGAUUUCCAGUAUCAUGUAUUUCUACACCGGACUCAUAUCCUUUUCUAUUGCUACUUAAGCACCAAAAUCACAUCUUACACACCUAUUCUAUCAAUUCAGGUACUGUAUCAUCAGAUUUUAUUCUUGUUGAUUUUUUCCUCAAAGAUCAGCCACAUCAAUUAUGCAUCAAAAAGUAGAGCUUCACAUAUAAUACUGGAACUUCACCAAGAGACAAGUUUAUUAUGCACUUCUUUUUCCCGAUCAUGCUAAGCACUUAAAAUAUCACAAGAAAUGAUGAUGAAAUUCCACUAGCUAACAAUAAAGUCAAUCUUCACAUAAAUGUAUCAAUUGCAAUGCUCCAUUUGUGGUAAAAAAAUUCAAGAAAAUGAACACCCAACUCUACAAAGCUAUAUCCAGUUUAACUAUUGAUCUAUGACUUUUUUAGGAGCUCAGUAGUACUGCAAUUUCACAUAAAUAUAUCAAGGGCGAUCGCCAAUAGUGGUUUAAAGUCAAGACACUGAACCUCCCAACUCUACCAAGCUAUAUCCAGUUUAACAAUUGUUAGCUAAGGGUAUCUUUUCAGAGCUCAGUAGUACUGCAAUUCCUUUCUUCAUAGUUCAUCAUAUUUAGACAGAACAUGCAGUUUCAGUGUCAAGUUGAAAGCAUUCAAAAGAUCAGCAAAAGGAUGAACUUGAACCUAACUCGUUUACUAUAUUUUACUAGAGCUUCAAAAAACAAAAACAAAAAAUAAACAGUGCUCCACAUUACAUUACCUGACACCAAAUAUAUUUUUAAAAAAUCAGGAUAAAGCAAAUGAUAUUUAUCAAUUCUGGUAACAAAAUCAUUUUGAGCCAAAGAACCACUAAAUAUUCAAUAUACUAUGUCUAAGAACAGCAAAAGGCAUUUCAUACCAUACAAGAUUGUAUUUCUCGGCAUUAUAACAUACAACACAGCAAAAAAUUACCUUCUUCAACUCCAUCUUUGGAGGUGCAGGUUCCUGAUAAAAGCUUGGCAUGGGUGUUGCUUUAAAUUUUAAGCUCUUCCUUAACAUUUUGAUCUCAGCUUCCUGUGUUUCCUGUUAGAGAAAUGAAAGAAAAUAAAAUGGGAAUGCUACAAGAUAACCCUACAACAAGAAAUUUUCUACACCAAGAGAUCCAGAAGCAGAAGUGUCACAACACCUUAGUCUUGGCUUGCAUAUUACUUUUCUCAACUUCCUUUGCCUGGGUUUUUUCUUCAAGCUUGGAGUAAAACUGUCCAAAUAACAAGACAAAUGUUCUUAGAUUGACUUCACGGUGCAAGACUAUCAAGCAUAUAUUAUAAGCUUCAGUGAUGCAAGCAGAGGGCUAACCUCUUUCCUUUUCUCAGCUCUUUCAUCACACUUGAAACUGAUAUUGUAGGUUGGAAGAGUACCUACUUUGCGAGUUUUGGCAUCUGAUGCAGCAGUAGGACUGCUAGGAAGUGAUUUAAGGAUAAACUGAAAGACUUUUAUUAUGCUAAUAAAAAUAAGAAUUCCAAAUCUAAGGAGUGAAGGGAAAAAAAAAGAUUUGACACAUUUAGGAUACGAAGAUGAUUCUGCACUUCCAUCAGCUUUAUUAGGGAGCACUUUCUUCAAAGGCAUCAGUUUUGUUUUUCCCUGCAGUAACGAAAUUAUAGUUCACAAACCACUGGGGAAAAGUUAUCAUUGAUUGUUUGGCACGUUUUGAAAGCAUUCUCAGUACAAUUAUCAUAGGACUCCUCCAAGUAAUAGGUAAGAAACUACAAGAGAAAUCGGACAUACUUAAGGCCUUCAGACUGAGCAGCACUCGGAGAAGCUGAUGCUGCUACUUCAGCAUGACCAGGUUGCUGCUAGAAGACAGCAGAAAAGGAAUAUGAUAUUGAUGACAAUAAACAGAUGCAUAUGAAGCUGCAAUAUUGAAAUUCAGAUUGCUGUUACUCUGGACUGCAGGUCAUAAAUUAGACCCAAGACAUUUACCUUAGCACGAUCAACAUUUAGAUGAGCCAAUGCAGGUUUUGAAUAAUACUCAACAGUUUUCUUGUCACUGAAUGAUUUACCCUUUGCAUCAAGGGAAGAUGGCUGCUUAGGACGCGGUUUGGAGGCAAGGGUACCAUUUGAUGCCUCUUUUCCAUCUUUGCUUUUCUUGGCUACGCCAUUUUUGGGGCCUGAAUUCUUAGCAUUCCUUGCCCUAGGUGGAGUCUUUUGCUCUUUACUGUUCGUUGCAUCAUCAGAUUCUUUUGCUUCAUGUUCCUGCAAGUAAAUAAGCAAUUACCUAAAUGUGGUGUUCAAAAUGUCCUUAGAAAGUAAAAACUGGAUAAACUCCCUUACCUCGGAACUGACACCAGCAUUGCUUUCUACAGUAAUUGUAGUUUCAUUACUGACCUCUUGGACAGAAGAUCCAACUGUUUCACUAUCAGUCAAUACGACAGUGCUCUGGAAACUCCUCUCUAGUUCUUCAUUACUGGGACUUGCAUGAGGCAUCCCAUUGGAUAUGCCAGCAACAACUUCUGGAAGUUGGUGGACUCCAUUUCCAAAGCCCAACCCAUUUCCAGAAACAGCUAUGUUAUUGACAACAUCCAUCAUGCUCUAUAAUGUUUCAAAAUUUGCAACCACAAUUCUACAUGUCAACCACACAAACAGAAAAUGCCUCAUGAGUCAUGAUUAAAACAGGUGUUUUUAAAGUAUAAUCAAACCCCAAUAGUAGGGUCUAAAGAAAUGCAAUCUCAUACUAAAAAACAACCAAUCCAGCAGAAAACAAAUUGUAUAUAGAGGAUUACCAAAGCAAUGCUACAACCACAAAAAGCUCAACUUUCAAAAAAUUCAUACUUUAGAACACUACAGACUCUCAUCUAAUACUUCAAUCACUUUGUUCUUCAAACAAACUAACAACACACAAAUCAAAACUCGGGCUUUGCAUCAAGUCAAUACCAUUUCUACUGAGCUGAGAAACAAGGUUAAAUCACCCUAAAAAUCAAACAUUUCCAUCAAUUACAAUCCAAUUCCAAUUAUGAUGUGGAUCUUGGGUAUCCAUUCCACUCUAUUCAAGUUCAUCUAUGCAAAGUCUCAGCAAAUGACCACAAACAAAGAACUCAAAAACCCAAAUCCAAAUACAGUACCAGAAGACGACAAAAUCAGUAGACCGACACUUACUCUACUUAGAUCUCCAACCGCAAUAAAAAGAUCCAAUCUUUUUCUCAAUCCAAGAUUCACCACAGCAAAUCCAAAACCCCAAAACAGCAAAACCCAUUUUCACAAAGCUAAAUACCCACAAGAUAUACAUAAUGUACCAAUAUUUUAUAAACACAAACCACAACAAAUGCAGUUGCUAGCUACUAAAUGCAAUUUACUUACCUAAACAACCAUAAAAAGAUCACAAGCCCAUGAAAUCCACAAGGGAUCUGAAAGAAUCUUGACACAGAAAGCCAAACACUUGCAAAACAAACAAGAAUCUUGAAAUCUUAGAAACAAUUUAUGAAAAUGCUUUAAAGAUGGUGUUUUCUUGAACUUGAAAGUGAAAAGUUGAGAACUUUGAAGAUGGGGUUUCUCUAUUUCACAAAAUUCUCAACUCAAAAAUAGAGAAGGGGGGGACAGUUUUGCUCAUGUGUGUGUGUUGGGGAUGGUUUUUUUUUUUUUUCCAAUUUAUUUUAGUAGUUGUAUGUGACAGAAGUAUUCAAAUCUAUACCAGGUCACUGUCUCAAAAGAAAAAAAAUCACCUUAAAUUUAAGGAUAGGGAGGAACAGACAUGUACCAGCCCCAUGAUCAUGCUUACCUGGUAAUAUCAGUGGCUCACAAUUGAAGAUUAUUCCUUUUUUUUAUAUAUUGGAUUUAAUUAAUUAAUUGAUUUUACCUUUUUUGUGGAAUUUAUAUUCCGUUCAUUUUAUUAUCCAAAAAAGACAGCUUUGGUUGAGACCAAAGUCACAAUUUUAACGAGGACAGCGGUAACCCCAAGUCGCACAAAUUUGAAAAAUUGAAGAAGCAAAUAGUUUUUUUUAUUUGAAAUUAUUUUGAAGUUGAAUUUCAAGUUUGAAAAGGUGCUUUAGACUUACUUUUCAAGUGAGUUUUUCUCAUGAAAAUUUUUAUUUUAUUUUAAGUUAAAUGUGUAUUUAACCAUAACUUAAUUUUUAAAUAGUAUUUUUCAUUUAAAUAAAUAUCAUAUUUUUCAUGUUCAAACUUCAAAAACCUAUUCAUGAUUUUCUCCUGUCACAAUUUUCAUGCUAAAUCGAUCCAAAAUAAUUCGUCAUAACCUUCAUUAAUAGAUGAGUUUGAACUCUUCUAUGUAAUAUUUAUUUUGUUGAGAUGACUCUUCGUUUAUGAUUGGAGAGAAAUCAGAAAUAAAAAAAAAAACUACAAAUAAAGGUUUUUCCACUGCGAAUCAAUGAGAAAUUUGUGUUAUAGAACCUGAUUUUUCCACGCAUUUUUUAUUAAAGCAUUUCACUGAGAAAAUGAAUGGUGAAAAACAGAUUCUCAUUGAAAUAGUGAACAGUUCUGUAAUUUUUCCAUAUGAAAAAUUACUAUUUUUUCUAUUCUCACUAAAAAAAUAAAUAUAUUUUUAGCACAAAUUUUGCAAUGAUUCUACAAAUGUUCAUCAAGUGCUAAUACUUAAAUUGCUGAUAGAUUAAUACUCUUGUUUUUGCUCAUAGACUUAUGUAUUGAUUAUUUCUGUGAGAACAAGUCCGAAAAAGUCUAUAGACUAGCAUGUACAUAAUUUACACUUUUUUGGUUGAAUAAAGACUUUUUUCAUUUAGCUAAGAAAAAAAAAACUUUCAUAUCCUAAAAUUACUUAUGUUUCAAAAAUCUUUUCCUAUUUUAUCCAUAUACUUUGUGUAUGAAGGUAUACCGGUUAACAUAAAAAGCUAUACAUAUAUAUAGUUGAUUUUGAAUAUGUUAUUAGUUCAAAAAUGUUUAUUUAUAUAGCUUAAAAAAUCCUACUAAUUAAUAUUUUACCCAUCAAAAACAGUAAUUUUUCAAUUUAAUCACAAAGUCAAAAUGAACGGGACAUAAGGAAAACAACAGCAUCAUAAUUUUGCACGGGAAAUCAAUUUCAAAAUAAUAUUUCUAAGAAAAGAAAGAUGCAAACAUCAAAGUCAACAAUUUUUUGACAAAAUUGAGUUAAUAUUCUUCACUCAAAUCCUAUAAAUAUGGCAAAAUUAGAAUAAAAGAUAUUCUUGAUAGGUAUUAUAAAGUUGUUUUACUUUUCUGAAUGAGUAAAUUUUAGGUUUAGCAAAUAUAAAAUUCAUAUUUGUAUGUUAUAGCUAUAGUUUGUAUACUUGCGGUCCAUAGCAAACUUUAUGUUUGCUAUGACUAUUAAUCUGUAUAUUUCGGUAUACAUAUACAUACAAAAUAUGUAUUUGGGUCUAUUUGUAUAUUUCGGUAUACAAAUGAGUCAUGCAUUUGUAUAUUUUGGUAUACAAAUGAGUCUUGCAUUUGUAUAUUUCGAUAUACAAAUGGGUCCUGCAUUUAUAUAUUUCGGUCUAUUUGUAUAUUUUGGUAUACAAAUGGGAUGGCAAAAAACAUGGAAUGUUUACUGCGAAUUACAAAUAAAAGAAACUAUGGCUAUAACAUUUAAUUUGAAUUAAUGGUUUAUUAUUUCAUACAAUUUUCCCUUUUUGAAAUGUGCAUUUUUAAUAGAUGAGUUUCCUAUAUAUAUAGAGAGAGAGAGUUUUUCUAUAUCUAUUAUUUUUUACUUUAAAAGGUUUCAAAAGUAAUUUCCGUAUCUUACUUAUCAAUUAUUUUUUAUAAAAUAAACUAAAUAAUGAGAGGAAUAAUGAAAGUGUGGCGGAUUUUUAAUUUUAUUUGUUAAAAGGGAUGGGGAUAUGGAAUAUUACCCCUCUAAUUAUUGAUCAUGAAAACCAAAAGUACGAAGUUUUUACGAAUAUCGUGAAAUGCAUAUUUGAUAAAAAGACUAAUAUAUAAAUAAAAUAUCAUAAAUUAUUAAAAUAUUUGACAAAAAGUUAAUCUAUCAAGUCUAAUUAAAAAAUGAUUUGUAAUGUGAAUUCAAUAUUACUAAAACAAAUGAAACUGAAAAUGUAACAUAUGUUAUAAAUUCAAAACAAAAUAUUUAACAUAAUACUCUUAUCACAAAUUUCAACAUAGCAUACAUAAAUAUGAUUUAUUUUUUUUAUUUUAAAAAAAAAAAAGCGUAACUCUAUAACCUUACUUAAGAAUAAAUCUAUUUUAAUUUAAAAAUUAAAAUACUAAUAAAAUUAUGCUAAUGAGAAUAUAAGCAUGGCAUAAAGAAAUAGAUAAUACGAAAAACUGCAUAGAAUCACGUGAAGUAAGGUUGAAAAUGAGAAGAAAAUGAAAUAUAAUAAUAUAAAAUAAACUUUUAGAAAUUUUUAGAAUAAUAAUAAAAUAAAAAAACUUAAAAUAAUAAUUAAAAAAAAAACAAAAAAAAAAUUAAAAAGUAAUCAGCUGGUAGUUACACGAUGUAAAUUUAGGGGUGUGCACUAUUCAGAUUAAACCGAAUAACCAAACUAAAUCAAACCGAAUUUUUAUUUGGAUUGGUUUUUUGGUUUUUCGGUUUUUCGGAUUAACAAAUUACUUUGUUUGAUUUUUUGGUUUGGUUUUGGAUUUUAAAAAAUAAAAACCGAAAAAAAUCGAAUUAUAUAUAUAUAAUGUUUAGGCUUAGAAUUAAGUUGGAGUUAACCACUUUUGUCCCUUUUUGGUUAUUGCCUUUCAUGAUGAUUUCGUUUAUAUUUUAUGUUUGAAUUACAUCUAUAAUAGGUAUACUUAUAAGUAUUGUGUUUUAAGUUUUACUUAUGAUUUAUAUUAGAAAGUAUAUUUAAGGGAUUAAAUAUUAUUACUUUGGUUAUAUAUGUUAUUAAUUAUUGACAUAACCGAAUAACCAAACCGAAAAAAGCCAAAUCGAAUAGAGGAAAACCAAACCAAAUCAAAUUUAUUUUGGAUCGGAUUGGGUUACACUUUUACAAAACCAAAAACCAAAAAUCCAAACCGAAUAGUGUCAAACCAAACCAAAAAACCGAAUGCACACCCCUAGAUGUAAUUACCAGCAAUUCACAACCUCUCUCUGUGAAUUGGAGAAUGUAAUUACCCCCUGUCAAUUACAUGCUAACCAAUAAUUACAUGUCCAACCAAACAGGACAGACAGUGUAAUUACACCCAAUUACACCAAAUUCAAUUACCAGGGUGGCUUUCCAAACAGGCCCAAGUGUUUAGUAUAAAUAUUAGGUGUAAAAAAAAUCUUACAUACCAAUUUUUGCUGAUUUGGAAUUACACGUGGCAAGAAAAUGCUAUGCUGGACAUAUUAGAUAGAUUCUUUCUUACACAUGUGACCUCAUUAUAGGAUAGUUGCUUAAAAUGGACGAAAACUUUUAGAUUAUUAUAGUGGCGUGGCCAUAUAAAUCAGGGCGGAGCUAGCAUAUCGAUUACAGAUUCGAUAAAACUCACUAUAGAUCAUGUCUUUAUAAUAUAAAAUUACUCAAGAUGUAUAAAUAAUUUCUCAAAGAUCUUUAUAAUUUUUUAUCUAAAAUUCAUAAAUUUAAAAUUUUAAGUCCAUCUCUCGCAAUAAUUUAGUCAUCAAAUGAGAAAUGGUCUUGGAGUCAAUGACACAAAGAGCAUGAACAAAGAAAAUAAGUUUAUUGAAGUGGCCCUAAUCUUUCAUAAACUUAUGAUUUAUUAUUAGACAAACUCAAUUAUAGAGGAAUUUUCCUAGUAGUGGCCACUUGGUAAAGCAAUUUUAACAUAGAUGGCAACUGUGAAUAUGAUGUUUGAUUAGGUUAAUCACACUUAAUCAAUUAGCUAUAGAAACUUACUUUAGCUUUUCCUUGAAAAUACAUAAGAGGAUUGUUCGCGAUAAAAAUAAUUACUCCUUUUUCAAUUUUAUCCUCGGUGGUAAUUAUUUUUGAAGAUUAUAAAACUCUAGUUAUGGAGUAGUGACACAUAAAUAAAGUAAAAAUCUAACUAAAAGAUGUUAUAUUUUAAAGACAUAAAUAAAAGUAAAAUAAAAGAACAUUUCUUAAUUAAUAUAUUUUUUAAAGUACAUAUAAGAAAAUAAAAUACGAUAAAUAAUUUAAAACGGAAGGAGCAACUUAUUUUCUGAGGCUGCAAACAUUCUUCAACACUCCACGUGCGGCAUGUUCCCAGAGUUGAGUAUGAAAAUAAUUUUGGGUCAAUCGAUCAUUAAAUUAAUUAAUGUGCCAAACCUAUAUCCUUCGUUUCAAGUGCAAAAUUCAAAUACACGUUCCAUUAUUAUUAUUAUUAGGGGGUAUUGCUCUUUAACUAUAGAUCAGAUCAAAUAGAAAGAAACUUAAUUCCGCGGUGGGUGGGGCUGAUGCAAUUAAGGUUAAUAUGGUGUUUAUUGAAGUUGAUGAGCUUGUAGUACAAGAUUAGAAACAACGGACACUGCAUGAUGUAUCUUAAAUAUUUCUUUAAUUCUAUUUUUAACGACGAUGGACAUGAGACUCUAUUAAAAACAAAAGUUUUAUCACAAAUUAGUGAAAAUUUUGUAUUAAUCAUUUUUUAUCGAAUUAGCUCGUUGGGAAAAUAUAUGGUAAGAAAUUGAAUUCUCACUGAAAAUACUGAAAAACUUUCUAUUUUUUUAAUAUGAAAAUAGUGAUAUUCUUUUUCUUACCAAUUCAAUCAAACAUAUUUGUAGAAACAGCCAAUGAACAUUUUUUGAUGGAAAGUUUUAGUGAAAAAAUAAUGAUUUUGUAGUGUGGGUGAGGACAAUGGUAGUUAGGGUUUGUGCGAGAGAGAAUAUAUAUAUAAAAAAAAAGAGAAGAUCUCCAAAAUUCCUAAUAUGGUUUGUAAAUAAAUAAUUUUAGUUAUGAUAAAUAUAAGAGCAAAUUUUAGGAAUAACAAACAUAAAAAUCAUAGUACUGAUUUAUAACUAUAGUUUUGCUAUUUUGCUAUGGAGCAUCUGAUUUGUAUAAAUCACAGACAUCUGAUUUGUAUAAAAUCGCAGCGAUUGUAUAUGUAUAUCGACUAGAUAAUUGUAUAUAUGUAACUACUAUGUAUAUGUAUCAAUGAUUAUGUUUGUAUAUCUACAAAAAAUUUGAAUAUGUAUACAAUUGAAUCGAGUUAAAACAUUUGUAUUUGUAUAUCAAAUAUAUAUCUCUCUCUCACGCGCGCUUUAUACAAACACAAAUUAUACAUUGUAUUUUGUAUAAUUUGUGUUUGUAUAAAGCGAGAAAGAGAGAAAGGCAAAAGAGAACUGGGCAGGGGAAGAUUUGUAUUUGUAUAAUUAUAAGUGGAUAGGACGAAGAGAUAUGUAUUUGUAUAUACAGUUCUCUCUCGCUUUAUACAAACACAAACACAAACACAACUUAUACAUUUGUGUUUGUAUAAAGUGAGAGGCGAGCAAGAGAGUGGCGAGCGAGAUUCAGGGGAGAGAGGUAAAUGACAAAAAGUUUGUUGCGAACUGGAAUUAAAUGAAACUGUAGCUAUAUCAUUUAUUUUGAAUUAAUACUUUUCUAUAAUGCACAAUUUUUCCUAAAUAUAAAUUAUAUAUGUAAAAAUCCCUUUUAUGUGAUGAGUUAUUAAUAUGCACCUAGUAGUUUUGCAUUACUAUGUAUGGUAAUAUUGGGCUGUGUUGCCAAGGAACUUGGCCAACCAGGCCCAGCAAAAAAAAGGCCCUGACCCAGAAUGAGUUACCAGGCCAGGUCAGCUUGUCGUGGCAUGGGUUCGUGGGGAUUUAGUUAUUAUCGUAUAUUAAUUUAGUGAACUUAGUUAUUAUCGUAAAUUAACUUAAAAUCAUUGUAAAAACUCAUAAAUUUUAAAUCAUGGAUAUGAAUCAUACCGUUGAAAAAAAAGAGAAGAAAAAAGAGCAUGCAUUUGCUCACUAGUCACUACGCAUUAAUGUAUAAUUAACGUGAAGAAAAUUUUCGCUAGUGAGUACUCACUCCCAUAUUAUUUGUCCACCUAUUAUAAAUAAUUGUCCCAAAUCAAACCAAGAUAAUAAAUAUAAAAUUAGUACAAUAUAAGAUAGUAAAAUUACAAUGUCAAACUCAUGUAACUAAUUUUUUUUCUUCAUAUCUUUUAAUUAAUUACCUUCAACAUUCUCUACUAAUUAAACUAUAUAAUAUAAUUAGUACUCUUAAGAAAUAUGGGAUGAUUUUCUUGUACUUCUUCCACUCUUCCAAUUCCUUAGUAUCUGUAUUCUUUGAACUGUCUCCAUGAAUGUUCUGCAAAAUUAAACCAUUAUAUAUCCUCUGAAUAAAUACUGGAAACAACAAUUUCUAAUUUAUAUUUUACUUGUCAUAGAUCAAAUAUAAAUAAUGGUGUAGCAACCGAGCACUCCUGGAUUUGAAGUUUAUAAAUUUUACACAAUUUCAAGUUAAUAUAUACAAUAAUAAUCAGGUUUACAAUCAAAUAUUCAUCUAGAGAUGUUAGUAAAUUUUUGAAUACAUAUCUAAAGUAAGAGUAAAAGUUACUGAAUUUACGUGAAUCACAAUAGGAUAGAAGAGGUAAGGUACAUACUCCCAAGGUACAUCUCCAGCAAGCAUCCAAUCUCCUUCUUUGUCUUGGUACAAUAGUGUAAAGCGUCCAUCAUUUUCAUCACAACUCUCAUGUGCUGCAUAUAAAUUAACCAAACUUAUUAAUUCAAUUCUUAAUUAAUUCCUUAUUGUUAUUUUGUGAAAAAAAGAAAAGAGGACAUGCUAUUUUAAUUUUCAUAUUUUUAUAUAAUAAUAGUAGGAGUGAAUUAAUUACUUACAUUUAUGAAACAUUUGGAGCAAGGUGUUAGUAAGGAUUUGGUAAGAAUUAUAUAACAUUAGAUCAAUUUUUCUUCCAAUGGCUACUCCUUCCAUUUUAACCUUCACAUACAUGGAAUUUCUAAUUCCAAUAUUGUGUCUAUGAUUAAUAUUAUUAUUAUUUUUAUUCCAUCCAACUUCAUGAUUAAUCCCAUGAAUAAGUUUUUUUCUCCAUGAUUUAAUUGGUGGCCACCCCACUACUCCAUUUUCUUCCUUGAAUUCCCUGCAUCACAAAUUCAUAUUUAUUAAUUAGUAAUAAUUAAUAUAUUCUAAGAUCAGCUAAAAAAAAUGAUUUUUAAUACACUUAAGGAAAUUAAACUAAAAGAAUAACAAUAUUGUCAGACAAGAAAUUAUAAGUCAAAGCCAUUAAUUAGGAUUUCUAACUUAUGAUUCUGGACUUAUUUUGACUUAAUAACAAAGUGUUUAAAGUAUUUUUUUAAUCUUACCCAAAUGGCCAAACAAUAUACCAGUGUUUAAAAUCUGUUUUGACUUAAAAACACUAAAAAAUAAGUCAAUUCAAAUAAACUCCAAGUUUCCAAGUACAUAUACAAGUAUGUUCAAGUAGUUUAUGAUAUGAGAGAUCAAUGAGGAGCAGUGGUGCAGUCAUAAUUUUCAGUAAGAGAGUUUAAAAUAUGAUAAAGUAAAUAAAUAAUUUGAAAGAAGUUAAAAGUGAUUCAACAUUUUACUAUAAAAUAGUUUAAUCAUGUAUAAAAUAAAAUAAAUUUCCUUUAAAGGACUUCGAAUAAAACCUUAGACCCUAUCUGACUCCGCAUCCAACGAAGAGUUAGUAAAGGUAUGAAUGAAACUACAUAAACAUGUAGUAAUAAUAUAUUUACAACAAAUAGCAGAUAAUUUACAUUACACACAUUUUGUAACAUAAACUUACUGAUUAUAACAAGCUUCAAAAUUUCUCCUUUUUUGAUAACCAUCAUCAUUAUCAUCUUCUUCUUCAUUUGGUUGGCCAUUCCAUAUAAACAAAGGUAAUGUUUUACCUUCAACUUUGUUGCUACCAUAAUCAUCAUUAUUAAUCUUCUUCAUUUCUGAGAAGUUGUCAUCAAAUGUGUCAAUAUUAAUGUUGUCAUUUAGGUAGGAAGAUUUGAUAGGAUUAACAAAAUGGGAAUUAGGAAGUGCAAGACCAAGACCAAGCUCAAGUUCCAUCUCAUAAAUGAUAUCACAAAAAUACCUAUAGAUUUUAUAAAAGAAUUGGUAUAAUUUGUUGUAGAUGUUUAUUUAUUUAUAUAUAAGUAAAUAUUAAUGUGGUAGAAAAAGGAAAGAGAGGAGAAGGAGAAUUGUCUGGUGAGAAAAAGAAAAAGGGAGAGAGCAUUGAAGUUGGGUCGGCCAAAAGAGUAGCAAACAUAUCGACACCUCACAAAAGCAUGUUUUUGGACCAUCUCUCCCACACACUUCUAUACUAGUGGCAUAGUUACCGUUCGUGUAUAUAUCACAAAUUAUAGUAAAUUACGAUUAAGAAGAUAAAUAUUUAAGUUAAGGUGCAAAUAUCUUGCUUUUUCUAAGGAUAUUUGAGUCUACUGCAAUAUAAUUUACACCGAUUCAACAGUAGAACUCUUGACUUAUCUCCUUCAUGAUACAACAAUAUAAUUCAACAAUGUCGUAUAACUCAAAAACUUCAAAUUACAUUGGAAUGUAUUCCUUCAAUAUAAUAUUUCGUUCUUUUCAGUAGUGAAUAAGUUGGAGAUUUAGAAUAUUUUUCGUUUUCUCCACUCUUUCUUUCAAAUACUAAUCUCACUACACAUUACAAUACUUUCCCACACUAAUUCUCAUAAUUCUAAAGAUAUUUCAUUUAGACACUCGAAUUAACACAUUAACUUUUAAUAAAAUGUUUCAAUUAGAGAUUUACUAUAACAAAUAAAGAAUUUAACGACAAUAAUAUAAUUGUCUCCAUAUUAUAUUUAACGGCAAUAAUAAAUAUGAGUGUUUAUAAUAACACUUUAUAUAAAUAUUGCUAAAAGUUUUAGCGAUUCUGGAUGCAAUGAUAUUGACUCAAUUGUCGUUGAUAGGAAAAUCUAUUGCCAUAAAAUGUCUCUUUUGUUGUAGUGACUUUAGAUUCAGUUUUGGAAUUUUUUGUGUGUAUAUUCUUAUUCGUUUAUUAAAUAGUUAAAUUAAUCAUACACAUCAAUCUUAAAAAUAUUUUUAUUUUACAUUAUCCAUAUAUAUUAGUUAGUUUAACUCUUGAAUUAGCAAUUAAUAAAGUGUUCAUUGAUUUUUCCUUUUGUUUUCAACUUUUUCAUAUAUAAAGUAGAGCUUAAUUAAUUCUCUUGUGAUCCGUCCGACAAUGCAACUGAUGGUACAAUCUCUUGUCUUUUACUUUUGUUACCUCCUAAAAAUUACAAAUGGAAUUUAUGAUAAACACUUUUUUUUCCCUUAUUAAAUUAGGUCUUGAACUUUAUUUUACUAGUCAUAACUCAAAAAUUAGUUUAACGAAAAAAAAAGAUUGUCCAAAUUAUAUACCACCUAGAGUUUUCGUCUUUCACCGAUCAUAUAGGAUUCAUUCUAUUCAUCAUCUUUCUCUCCAAGCUCAGAUACAAAUAUUCUUUAUCAGAGGUUCCACUAUCUGAUCUAGUGCGUGCAAAUACAUUCAUGAAGUACUCCUAUAUUUCCCCCGAUAACUAUUCGAGACCCUAAAGAUCCGCAUCGAAUUAGGUCUAACUCCAAUAACGUAAAGAAGUUUAAUUUCUUAAAUGAACUCAAUUUCAUUCACAUUGUCCCACAUUUCCUUCUUUUCUAUGAAUACUUGUUUGACCUAUUGAUCCAGCAUGCAGUCCUUUGUUUACCAAGAAAAAGUAAAAGAUACUAUAUAAUUUUCCAUUAACAAUCAAUGGUAAAUUGAACAUUAUAAUAAAGUAGAACAAGAAUAUAUAUCUUCUCCCUUUAAUUUCCUAGUUGUUGGAAAAUGACAUAUCAUUACUAAUUAAAGGAUUAAUUGCUAAUUCAAGAUUUAAUGCGUGUGAACGAAACUUAAACGUGUUUUAUCAAAUAAAGUAUUAAAGCAAAAUAUUUUUUUUGUCUGGCAUGACAAAUGUUUGGACAAAUUUAGGUCAUGACUUGUUUAUGUCCCCAUUAAAAUAUGAGUAAAUUUUCCUUUAAUUAAUUUUGAACCACAAAAGGCGGUUAAUACUUCAUAACGAAUUACUGCUAAUUAACUUAAGAAUUUACAGAAAUAAAUAUUUAAAGAACAAUUAUAUGGAAUUUCUUAAUUAAUUAAUCGGUAGUCUGAAGAUAAUAAUAAAUUUAUCGUUUAUAACGUGUUAAAAUUAAAAUAUAUACGAAUUUGUAAAAAAUAAAAAAUAAAAAAAUUAGUAUAACCUAAGGAUAAAAUUAAGACCAGUCUGAAUACGAUCUUUCUGGUUACACUCAUUAGAAGUAACAAUUAUUAAUCGGGGCGGAGCUAGUGAUAUAGUUACAAGUGAAUUUAAUAAUUUUUAUUUAGAUUAUAUAUAUGUGUUAAAUAAUCCAUUAAAUGUAUAUGAUGUAUUUAAUUGGCUUGGAAUCCAGUCCAUUGAUUUGAUUAUUAUUACAAUAUUAAUUUAAGAUUGUUAUAAGAUAAAUCGACGUAAAAUUAAAUUAACUUUUUGAAUUUGCCUCUGAUUAUUACUAUCAUUUGUCUAAAUAACUAAGAUUAGAUUUGGACAUGUGCUACAUGUCUGAGAUGAAAGUUCAAGAAAUUAAAGUCAUGAUGCAACCACUCUCAUCAAUUGAAAAAUCUCCAAAAAAAAAAUCAUGAGAAAAUUGGCAAAAUAUUCUAUUGGUUUUGGUUGGUUAGUUUGGAAGCAUGCUACUUGAUAUUUCUAAAUUGGAUUAAAGGUUGAUUCCUUAUGUCGGAUGUUUGUUUUCUCAUUCAGUAUUCAAUAUUCAUAUUGAAACUCGACUGAUUUAAAUUCGCAUCGUGUAGGAUUCAUUUGGGAGAAUGACAAUUAUUUGUUGAACAUAUUUCCACAUGAAAUUAUAGGAUAUGCUUUUUUUUUUUUGGGGUGGGGGUGGGGGGUGGAAUCUGUAGCUAGAUGGACAAAACAACCAACAAAGAUAGACAAUGGUUUGGUGAGUGUUUUGGGGUCAAUUGGUUUCCAAGAAGUUUACACAGUUCUUGAAUAGUCCCAUGGUGGUUUGUAUCAUUCAAUGUAUACAAUUCCUAAUUGGUACUUUGUUAUUGGUGGAACAUAUUUUUUUUUUUUCUCAACGAUAACAAUUACUCUUUUCGUUUCAAUUUGUUCUUUUAUAAUUUAAUAAAUUACACAAAAUCUAAGAAAGUAAACAAUUUACUUUCUUAGAUUUAGUCGUUCUGAAUCUCUUAUACUAAAGAUAUGUAUAAUAUAUCAGUUUUUUUUUAAUUUUUUAUCGUUUUAAAUAUGUCAUAAGAAAUGUUAUGUUAAAAUUAACGAGUUAUCAAAUUAUGAUCGUGGUAUGUAAUGAUCAUGUGGAUCUAAUAUACCAAACAAAAUGGAGCUACCUUAGUGGGCAUGAAUAUAUCAUAUGAUGAAAGUCAUGGAUCACAUUGUUGUCUAAUUAGGACUUGUUUUUUCCCAAAAGAAGUCAUAUGUCUCCCAAGACUUAACAUUUUGGGGUCAGUUUUGAUUACUGAUGUCUGAAUUUUUUCUAUCAAAAAGUAUGCUAAGAGAACAAUUAAAUAUUGAAAUCAGCUUUCUUUUAAUUUUUAAAAAACUUAAAAAGGUCAUAGAAAAAAUUAUACUUCAGAAGAACGUAAAAACACCAUUAAUUUAGAGCGUAAGACUAGUAGACAGUUUACUAUGGACGAUAUCAUAAUUAAAGGGGUCGUUUGGUUUGAAUACUAGUUAUGUUGGGAUUAGUUAUGCUGGGAUAAGUUUACUGGGAUAAGUUAUGCUGAGAUUAGUUUUUAUUGUUUGUUUGGUUUGUCAUAUUCAAACUAAUAUUCAUUGUAUAAUUUUUUGAGAAUAAGUUGUUUGUUUACAAAAAUACCCUCACCUUAUAUAGUUUUUUUUUUUUUUUUUUACAUUUUCUUUGCAAUCUUUAGUUAUUCAUUCAUAAAAAUAAAAUUUCCAUCUUAUUUAGCUUAAAUAUUUUUGUGUGUGCAUUUCCAUGAUUGUGCCAUAUGUUUUAAAAUUUAAAUGCUCAUCUUAUUUAACUUAAAAAUUAAACUUUCGUCUUAUUUAGCUUAAAAAUAAAUGUUCAUCUUAUUUAGCUUAAAAAUAAAUUUUUCAUCUUAUUUAGCUUAAAAAUAAAACUUUCAUCUUAUUUAGUUUAAAAAUAAAACUUUCAUCUUAUUUAGCUUAAAAAUAAAACUUUUGUUUUUUAAGUUUAUUAAAGUAAAAGAAAAUUUAUUAUUAAAGUUAUCUACAUUUUAAUUAUAAAUAAAAUAUAAUUUUUUAAGUGAGUAAUAAACUAUUUUAAUGAAAAAUAUGUAAUUUAGUAGUGGAGUGAACAUUUUAAGAGAAAUCAAAAUAAUAAAUAAAACAUAAAUAAUUACGCAAAUAAAUUUAACUUAUAAUAUAUUCAUAAAUAAAAAUUGUAUUUAUAAAAUGUAAAUUUUUAAUAGAAAAAUGUAUUUAUCAUAAAAACAACGAAUACUUAAGGUUGUGAAUGAUAUUAUAAAUGUUGUUAAAAAUUAUGUUAAUAUGUAUGAAUGUAAAAGUGGUGUAUAAAAGAGAGUUUAAGGGGGGUAUUUUUGUUAAUUUAUACACUUUAUCCCAUGAUAACUUAUCCUGGGAUUACUAUAUCACCCCCAGUGAGGGAUAACUUAACCCAUGACUAAUUGUUAAUCCUGAGAUAAGUUAUCCCUACCUUUGCAACCAAACAAUGAAUUAAAUGCCACUAAAAAAUUAUUCCAGGAUUAAUUCAUCUUAUCCAUCACACCAAACGACCCCAAAGGGUCAUAUAAAGAGUCCCUAAAUCCCCAUUCUACGAAUGAUGUGUCAUGUGUGGGACUCAACACAUUAAACUUUGAUUCAUUUUCUGAUAUUAAUCAUAAUUAAAUGCAACAAAUCAUACAAAAAAAAGACAAAGUACACGUAUAUGAACAAUAAAUUGUUCAUGAAUGAUUACAAGUAGAACAAAAUUAUGUUGUCUCGAUGAAAUGUAUAAUUUCUAGCUAAGUGGACCACUUCAUUUCAAAGUGUCAAUUGGGCAUGCACAAGACAAAAUUUAAAGAAAUUCAAUGUAUAUAAUAUAUAUACAUAAUUUCUUUUUACCCUACAUGGUAUAAUAUUCUGACAAAGGUGGUUCCAUUACUGUCAAGAUGAUCGAUCGUCUCUAAGUAAUUUGUUUUCCUCAACUUCAAUUUUGAUGUUUCAAUUUAUAUGAAUUUUUUCGAUUGGAUACAAAUUUAUGAUCAGUUUUAAUUUUUAAAUAUGCCAAAAUAUUUAUGUUAUAAAGAUAAAUAAAAAUGAAAUUAAAUAACUUUCAAAUUUAAGAAAAAACAUUCUUGUUAAAUGCACUAAAAAGGAAAUAUGAUUAUGUUAGAAGUGUAGCAUUCUUGUCUAGGAAAAAUGUACAUGUUCAAUAAAGCAAAGAUGAAAAGGGAUAAGAGUUUGAAAAAUAUCUUAACUUUUGCCGAAAUUGCUGUUACGAUACCAAACUUUAAUGAGGACCUAUUACCCCCAAACUAUUUAAUACCAUAUUUUAAACAUAUAUAUUUGUCCACAUGGACAUAAAAAAUAAUGCAUAAUUAUAAAUAGUAAUAUGUCCACGUGGGCACAUAUAUACCUUUAAAAUACACCAUUAAAUAGUUCAGGGGGUAAAAAAUACACUAUUAAAUAGUUCAGGGAUAAUAGGUCCUCCAUAAAGUUUGGUAUCGUAACAACAAUUUCGGCCAAAAUUGAAGUAUUUUUCAGACUCUUAUCCCUAAAAAGAAUAUCAACAACACAUGAUUUACUUUAUUCUUCCUUUGAACAAAAAAAAGAGAAAAACUUUAUUCCUCCUAAUUGAUUUAUAGGAGUCUAUUGGGUACUAGAGGAGGAGCUUCCUUUGAAAAGCAAAUACAUAGUGCAUUGUACAUUGUAAAGAAGAAAGAGAAGUUCCUAACACAAAAAAAUGUGUUUAUUACUCUACAAACACAUUCUUCUUCUUUUCUAUUUUCUUUUUUUGUUAUUUUCUAGAUUUGCGUCGUGUAGCAUAAAAUUUAUUUAUACCUAGGAAUUGAAUUUAUGGUCUUUAAGAAUCUUAUACAUUUUAGGAAAAAUUACCUAAAUACAUAUAAGAUUUUUCCAUAAUCUCUAAAAUUUUCAAUCAUUUACAAAAAUUUCAAAAAUUCCCUCUCGAAUUUAUCACUCUCCUCUCGCUGAUACAUUCCUAUCCCCUCUCAGAUACAUUCCUCACAUAUGUAUCUAGAUGUCUGCUGAUGUAUCCGGAAGUCCAGUGAUGUAUUCAGAUGUCCUAUCCCCUCUAUGAUACAUCCCUCCCCUCUCGGAUACAUCCCUCACUUAUGUAUCCGGAUGUCCAGUGAUGUAUCAGGAAGUCCAAUAAUGUAUCCGAAAUCCAUAAAUUUUAAAUUUUUUUUAUAAUUUGAAAAAGAAUAGAAAAAUAAUGUAAUUAAUUCAUAACACUCGUUUUAUGACAAGGAUUAAUGUUCUUCAAUCUUAUUUGGUACCAAAAGCACUCACGAAAAGGAUUAAAAUCGAAGCGGGCCUAGUAGAAUCACGGGUUCUCGGUGGCCCAACUUUGUUAUUCCAUCUGUGGCGCGUGAUAGGGACGUUUAAUUCCAUUUAGGAACAACAAUUCUCCCUCCCAGUCAUAAACGCACCAAAUAAGUAGGCACAAAGUCACCUGUUGUUACAGACCGAUAAAUAUUUCUUCAUUCUUAGGAUUCGUUUGGCCAUAGAUUUCUCAAGUAAAAUUUAGGGGAAAAAUUGACAAAUAGUGUUUGUCCAUAUAGUUUGUCAUUAUUUGAUAAAUAUUUUUGGCAAAUAACCCAAAUUCCCAAAUACUAGAAAAAACUAGUAUUUGGGUCAAAUCUCAUUAUUUGGGAGCUUUAAAAAAUUCAAAUUCUAUAUCAAACUUUUAUCUUUUACAAAAACAUAGUAGUUGUUUAUGUUGUAUUACAUAAGUAAUUUUUUACGUGAACACCAAACCAGUGAUGAAAUAUUCAGUGAAUAUGAAAGUGAUGAUAUGGUUGUUGAUGAAAAUGACGAAUAAUUGGCUCAGGGUAAUAAAGUCAUGUGCUCCGUCUACUUCACGAUGUAUGGAAUGAUGCUUGUUGCACUACCACAUUGCUCUAGUGUCAUGGACACUACUUGUUAUUUACUGCAACAAAGGUCCAAUUGACUUGUUGCGGAAGUCACGAAUCUUGUUACGUCGACGUUUCUAUUUUGCUAUGUAAUACAAUGGUUAGUUUUGAUAGUUUUUAAAACUUAUGGGUAUAAAUCAAAUUUAUUAAAAAUAUGAAAUACAUUUCCCAAAUAUUAUGCCAAACACAUGGUGAAAUUUCACCCAAAUAAUAUUUGUCAAAAAUAUUUGGGAAUCUGUGGCCAAACGCUAGCUUAAUAGCUUUCGAAUUUAAAUUAUUUGGAUAAAGAGUUGCCUUUGUUAGAGAGUGCUUUAAUAUCAAUGUGAGAUUUUCAGACGCAAAUUUAAAUUUGUCGGACUCCAAUAUAAAUAUCGGACACUGAAUUGAAAAAAAAAGUAGGCAGAAAGUGAUAGUAGAAAGCAAUUGAAUUGAAUUCUUUAUGUUCCACUUAGAAUUUCCUCCAACAUAAGCCAACCACAACCUUAAAUGUGCACCAAAGAAUCAAUCAAUCACCAAAAGAUAUAUAUAAUAAUACUACUAAAACAAUAACUAUAUUUUAAUAUUAGAAAACUUAAGGAGAUCAAAUUAGAGAUCUUUAAAAUGGUGAUGUUAUGAAUCAAGUAUAGUUUUAGUUUACUACUUAUAAAUGGUGUACUAGUUAUGGAAGUUUUAAAGAGGGAUGAAGAAGAUGUUAGUCCUAGAUUUUCAUUUCAAAAGAAUGGAUCAUCAUUGUCUUGUGUAGUACCACCAUUUUUGCUCAGCCCACAAAAGAGCUUGUACUACAACAAGUUGCCUGAGGAGCCAUUCAAUCUCACAAUACUCAAAUUGGAUGGCUCUUCCUUUGGUAUUUUUUCUUAUUUUCCUCCUCCUGUUGAAUUGUCUUAUGAAAUACUGAAAUUGAUCUCCAUCUUUAUGUGUCUGUAUAGACGACGAAUUCAGGAUUUAGAGUCGGUGAGUUCAAAUAGUACUGAAAUUCAUGUGUGUAUGCCCUUAGAAAUGGAUCCAGAAUUCAGAUAUUAGUAUUGUUUAUUUGUGUGUAUUUUUUUAAUUAUUCGGGCUAGGGAAUGGUAUGGGAUUACAAGGUGGGGAAUGAACCCUCACUGAGGUGAAAGUUCAAGUAGCCAACUAACUGACUUACUAAUAAUCCCCCAUAUAUGUGUGUAUAUACAUAUACAAUCUUGGAGCCAAGAAUUUGGCGAAGGGUGUGCAAAUUUUCUUCUCAGUUGUGUUAAGGGGGUGCUAAAUUAAAUAUACACUCAUAAUAGCUAACAUUUAACCUCUGUAUACCACAUAAUUUUCAAGAGUGUGCCCCAAACCAUCCUUCACCUAAGAUGGCUCCGCCCAUGUACUUAUAUGUAUAUGAUUUUUUAAAUAUUUUGAUAUGUAUAUAUGGUUUGAGUCCAAGGUAGUAGGACAUUAGGUGCUAUCACACUUAUUCUAUACUACCUUGUUUGAUCCACAUGUGGUUCGCUAGAAUUGAUGUAUCCAGGGGCGGAGCUAGCUUGGAGGAAGGGGAUUCAUUUGAAAUCCCUUCACUAUUAAGCAAAUAGGGUGAAAGGUAGUCCUUUUUUGUGUUGUUUUGUUGUAUAUUAGUUUUCAAACGCCCUUGACAUGAGAAUUCUUUUAGUGGAGUGGCAAAGGGGGUUCAAAAAUUGCUUUACUUAGUAAGCUUCAUCAUUGGUCAUGUAUCAUAUGUUUUUUCAAAUGGUCAGAUCAAUUGAAUUUUGUGUUGUGCAGAUAUUAAAGUUGCAAGGAAUGGGACAGUGGCGGAGCUGAAACAGGCGGUGGAAUCUGUCUUCAGUAAUUUUCCGAAGACAGGAACAGGCAAGGUUUCAUGGUAUGUGCUUUGCAAAAAGGAACUUUCAAACUAAACUUCUUCUGUUGUAGAUUGCUUGAGACUUAUACUUCGAUUUCUGUCUGACAUAAUUUGCAUAGCUGUUUCACUGUAUAUUACCUUAGCUAGUUCUUUCAAAUUCACUAGUUUUAUUGUGACAAUAUUACAGGUCACAUGUAUGGGGACAUUUUUGCUUGAGCUACGAUGGGCGGAAGCUACUUACUGAUAGUGAUUUGUUAGGAACCUAUCGGAUCAAGGAUGGCGAUAAGGUUUCUUCUCAUUCAUCAUAUUUCCACUCUAGGAAAGUUCUCUUUUAUCUAAUCUUUAUAUGAUUUGCUUAUGUUACUUGUUGCCAAAUGCAUUGGAAUAUGCAAUUUGUAAAAGGAGAUGUAUAGGCUUUGAAGAAAAUUGAUUUUUUUUAGCCAAAUCAGAAUCUUGACAUCUGCAGUUGAAUGUGUGUGGUUCAAUAUAUUCCCGUUUGUUUGGAAAUUACUAAGCUCCUUCGAGUACAUCUUCGUUAGCAAAUAAUUCUGAAUGCACUAUAAAGAGGUGAAAAUGGUCUGAAGAGAGACCUGUAAAAAGCAGGUUCAAUUACUAAGGUCUAAGGCUCUAAGGAGAUUCUGGUUCAAAUGAAUUCUCCCAACCGAAAAGAAACAGAUUUAUCAUCAAAAUAUUUUAGAUAAUCGUGAAAAUGUAAGAUUGCUCACGUAGACAGAUUUCACACGGUGUUUGCAUAUAGCCAGAGGCUGUGGUUUCUUUCACUAGACUGAUUGUUUAUCCGAUUUUGUCUAUAUUCUGGCUUAUGAGAUCUCGUUCAGCAGUUUCUUUCCACCCUGGAGUUAAGAAUUUUUCAGAUCAUUGCUAAUGAUUAUGUGCUUUUUUCGUUAUAAAGCCCAAGUGGAAUUUUUUAACAUUUCCUUAACGCGCUAAAGCUUGAUGUUUUUGCAUUUGCAGCUCAGUUUUAUGAGGCAUGUCUCCAUCAGUUACAAUCUGGUCAAAACGCGAUCAGAGAGAGAGGACCCUAGUAAGAAUGAACCUAGCAUGUAAGAUAUGUAUAUUGUUUUCAUCCUUAUUGUUGGUUCAUGUGUUCUAAUAUUGCACUUCACCCAUGCCUGUUAUGGUAUUGUUUGCUAUCGAUGCUUGAUUCUUCCAUAGAUUGCAAACACUAGGCCUAAGUUGCUGGAGACACUUGGUCAUAAAAGUUGAAUCUUGUUCAUCUAGGUGUUUCCAUAUAUAGUUUCUAAUACUAGAAUAUUGUCAUUUAUAUGUUCCAUUUAUAGUUUCUAGGGAAAAUGCAUAAGUACCCCCAGCCUAUGCCCGAAAUCUCAGAGACACACCUAACCUUUACUAAGGUCCUAUUACCCCCCCGAACUGAAUUUAUCUAUAAUAUUCUACCCCUUUUCGGCCUACGUGGCACUAUCCUUGAAAAAAUUGUCAACGUGUGCUGGGCCCACAAGAUAGUGCCACGUAGGCCAAAAAGGGGUAGAAUAUUACAUAUAAAAUAAGUUCGGGGGGGUAAUAGGACCUUAGUAAAGGUUAGGUGUGUCUCUGGGAUUUCGGGCAUAGGUUGGGGGGUACUUAUGCAUUUUCCCUAGUUUCUAUGUUGAUUUCUUGCCAGUACUGCUCACCACACUUUGUGUGAUCAUGCAGAGUUUAUGCAUAUUUUUAUGAAAUGUUCACUAUAUGUAUGAAUUUGUCUUGCAUAGUGGCAUUGUAAGGGCACAUAGAUAACAUCAUCUUUGAAAAUGCAUUUUUGCAGAUCAAAAGGCUGUGAAAGCAGACAACGGAGAGGUGAACGAGAGGGUAAUCACCAUCAAGAUGACUUAUCAGAGAACCAAAGCAAUAAUCAUGACAACAACAAGGGUGUUGUAGCUAAUUGUGAAUCCAGGUUGGUUCAUUUGUUUAGAGGGUGGCUCCCAUACAAAUUGACAAGCCCAGAGAGGAGAAUGAAACAGAAGAGCAGCACAUCGAGAUCACACGAUGGUCUACUUAUGGAGUUCUAACAGUGUUGUGCUAUGAUUAGUACUUUUGAAAGAGAGGAAUCCAGCAACUGUUUGCAAAUGUCAAAGAGAGUUGGAGAGUGAAAUGGAAAACAUCCACCUCUAGUUAAAGUUCUAAACUUUUGACUUUAUAAAAGAAGAUCAGUUGCCUGCCUAUGCAUCUGUUCCAUUUCCUCAUUUGCAUAUCAAAAUUAAUUGUGUACAUGAAUUUGCUUGUGUAGAACAAAAAUAUCUCUUUGGUCAUUAGAAACAGCAAAUCCACUAUCAUCAGACUUGAACUUCUGCAUUCUGGUUUGGGAUCUCCAUGAGUAUUCAAAAAGAGUUUGUGUUUUAUACACUGACGGUAUAAAAAGCUACUUACACAAUUCAGUCACUCAUGAACUAAUUAUAGGUACAUACUACAAGGAUUAAAUGGUAAUCUAGUAGAAAUGUUAACUAAUGGUAUGCUCCUCAGACUUGUUCAAAAAUGUCAUUGUGAUCCUUCAAAAAAGUUGUGCAUUUUUGGAGGAUUUUAGAAGAAUCCGAGAAACUUCAUACUAGCCUAUCAUCAUAGGUUAAAACUACACUAAUAGAGUAAACAUUAUUUACACUAUUAGCAUGUUUACUUGAACCGAGACAAGAAAUUAGGCAUAUGAAUUAACUUGCGGACCACAAUUUUCAAACUUUUUAGUCACUCUACCAACUAAUAACAAGUGUAAUUUUUUUUUUUCUGGUUUCCCAUCUCAUUAUAUCCGUCUUGGAGCCCUAUUAAUUUGGAUUCGGCCCAUUCAGAUGUAGCACCCGUUACCAAAAACUAUUAACCUUAUCCACUGCACCACGACAUUUGGAGAUACUAAAAUUGUGUAACUAAUUAAACAAGGAUAUGACUUAGAAAAAUAUACUCAGAGAGAAAAAGAAUGACCUCACGUGAGUCGCACACCCUUAGAGCUCCAAUUCUCAGCCUCAACUUAUUGUGUGGCAUAGAUUGAGAUAGCCUUUCUAAGAUCUUCCUUGUUUCCUUUUGUUAAAAAAAAAAUAAUCAAGAUUCGAACCUCUCAAAAAGAUUUUGUUUUUUUACAACUGCAAAAUCCCAAGUUGCAGAAGAGUAGAAAAAGAAGAAGAAGCCAUGGCCAACAUGAUGAUGAGCUCCUCCAAAGUCUUAAUCACUUCUUCAUCUUCCACCAUCCCUCCAUCUCCAAGAUUCAAACUUUCCCUCACCCAAAUCCCUUUUCCAAAACUACCCCUCCCCAAAUCACCCAAAUCCCUUGAAACCCUCUCAAUCCCAUCAACUCUCAAGUCCAUUUCAGUCAUUCUUGCAAGCUCAUUGGCCAUGGCACCACCUUCACUAGCAGAAGAAAUUGAAAAAGCUUCCCUUUUUGAUUUCAACUUGACACUCCCAAUCAUGAUGGCUGAAUUCCUGUUUCUCAUGUUUGCUUUAGACAAGAUUUACUUCAGCCCAUUAGGGAAAUUCAUGGAUGAAAGAGAUUCUGCCAUUAAGGAGAAAUUGAGCAGUGUGAAGGACACCUCUGCUGAAGUGAAGCAACUGGAAGACCAGGCUGCUGCAAUUAUGAAGGCUGCAAGGGCUGAGAUAUCAGCAGCAUUGAACAAGAUGAAGAAAGAGACUCAGCAAGAAGUAGAACAGAAGAUUGCAGAAGGAAGGAAGAAAGUUGAGGCUGAAUUGCAAGAAGCUUUGGCUAGCUUAGAGAGUCAAAAGGAGGAGACAAUCAAGAGUCUUGAUUCUCAGAUUGCUGCUCUUAGUGAUGAGAUUGUCAAGAAAGUCCUUCCUGUCAGUAACUAAUUCUGAAAAGUUGUAAUGUUUUUUUUUCUUGGGAUUGGUAAGAGUUAACAGCUUGUUUGGAUGGAUGGUUGUUACAUGUAAUAUUGUACUGUGUUGUUAGUUUAAAUACAAUGUUUAUUUUGAUUGUUACUUAAUUUUAUUAUAUCAUAUCAUUAAAACCAUUGUUAUGUAACCACAAAAAGUCUCAUUUUAUAUAAUGAGAUUUGGUGUGAUCACGUUGUUAUGUUGGUUUUUUUUUUUUGUUGUUGUUGUGAUGCUCUUCCCCCUCUCUCUCUCUCUCUCUCUCCUUCUCUGGUAUUCUCUCAUAUUUUUCAGCCUUCUAGCUGCUGCAUUUUUUAGUAAACUGUAAACCCAACAUUUACAUCCAUAUAUGCAUUAUGCAAACAUAUUUAUAAUUUUACCAUUUUUUGUUCUUUGCACUGAAAAGAACUGAUUGUCAAAUAGUCUUUGUCUGCAGAUAUGGACUCCCAGCUGAUAGAUUAUGGAUUAGUGUUUACGAAGAUGAUGAUGAAACUUUUGCACUAUGGCAUGAUGAGGUACAACACUGAAAGAUAUGUCUGAUGCAUUAUAUCUUUAGUGAAGUAAUAAGGUCAAUCCUUCUACAAUUAACUAGUUAUGCACUUAUGCAUGGUAGGGAUCUGGUAAAUAAAUGCUGGAGCGCAACCUUCCAUUUAGACUGAACAGAGGUGUAUUAUGGUCAUUCAAAGAUACCUAGAGAACUUCAUUGCUUUCCAAGUGAAGUGAAGUGAAGUGUAUCAAACAGCCAAAUACUGUAUUUUAAGAUCCUGAAAUAUGUAUACUGUACAGUUUCAAGAAAUAUGUAUACUGUGUUCAAACUUAGAUGAGUUUCAAGGCUAAAACAAUGUCUCUCCAUUAUGGCUUAGUCAGUGGGGAUAACUCAAAUAAUGACUUAGAAGAACACAUUUAUUUUGAUAAGUGAGAAGAGCACAUUUUAUUAUUAAGCUACCUCAGUUUAAGUCAAAGGAACCUCAUUUACGUUGGAGUGUGCUCUGUCAAAUAUGAGAAGUCUAUUGCAACCAAGUUUUAAGAAUGACUGUAUUUAGUUCACAUUUUGAUCUUGAAUGGAAUAUCUUUUGACGUUCUCGGUCUGUGUGCUUAUGCUCCCCAAGUGGGCUUGGACGAGGAGGCCAAAAAGCGCUUUUAUGAGGAUUUGGAUGAGGUAGUUAGAGGUAUACCGAAUACCGAGAAGAUUGUCAUUGGUGGAGAUUUUAAUGGCCACAUCGGGGCAACUGCUAGUGGAUUUGAUGAUGUUCAUGGAGGCUUUGGUUUUGGGGAGAGAAAUGGAGGUGGAACUUCGCUUCUAGACUUUGCUAAGGCUUUUGAGUUGGUGAUUGCUAACUCAUGCUUUCCGAAGAAGGAGAACCACUUGGUUACCUUUCGUAGCCCGGUAGCUAAGACCCAGAUAGAUUACUUUCUCCUUAGGAGGGGUGAUAGAGGUCUAUUUAAGGACUGCAAGGUUAUCCCAAGUGAAAACCUCACUAUCCAACACAAGCUUUUGGUGUUGGACUUGAAGAUUAAGAGGGAUAGGAGGAAGAAGAUGUUAUCUGACCGACCGAGGAUUAAAUGGGGUGGGUUGACCCCUGCCCUUUCUCGGGAGAUGGGUGAGGAGCUGAUGGGGAUGGGGGCAUGGAGUGGUAGCGGGGAUGCGGACAACAUGUGGAAUAAAGCAGCUAGUUGCAUUAGGGAAGUUGCUUCUAAGAUGCUAGGGGUGUCUAGGGGUAAAUUCGGAGGACAUAAAGGAGAUUGGUGGUGGAAUGGGGAAGUCCAAGGUAAAGUGGAAGCGAAGAAGGCUGCAUACACAAAAUUGGCGGAGUGCGUAGACGAGGAAGAGAAGCGGACGCUUAAGAAAGCCUAUAAGACGACAAAGACAGAAGCUAAGUUAGCUGUUUCGAAGGCGAAGACGGCAGCUUUCGAACGCUUGUAUGUCGAGUUGGGGGACAAAGGUGGGGAUAAGAAGUUGUAUAGGCUCGCAAAAGCAAGAGAGAGGAAGGCGCGCGACUUGGACCAAGUGAAGUGUAUCAAAGAUGAGGAAGGCAAAAUACUGGUGGAAGAGACCUCUAUCAAGCAAAGAUGGCGAAGCUACUUUCACAAACUUUUAAAUGAAAAAGGGGAAGCGGACAUUGUGUUGGGUGAUUUGGCACACUCUGAAAGACUUCGGGAUUUUGGAUACUGUAGGUGCGUUACGCCCGAGGAGGUUAUACGGGCUAUUAGUAGGAUGAGUAGGGGAAGAGCGACCGGACCCGAUGAGAUUCCGGUAGAAUUUUGGAAGAACAUGGACAAGGCAGGCAUAGAGUGGUUAACUGGGCUGUUUAAUGUUAUUUUUAAGACAGCGAAAAUGCCUGAUGAAUGGAGGUGGAGUACAAUGGUUCCGUUGUAUAAAAACAAGGGUGAUAUCCAAAACUGUAACAACUACAGGGGUAUUAAAUUGUUGAGUCAUACUAUGAAGAUUUGGGAGAGAGUGGUGGAGAUGAGAGUGAGAAAAGGGGUGUCCAUCUCCGAGAACCAGUUUGGAUUCAUGCCGGGACGUUCGACUACCGAAGCCAUUCAUCUUAUGCGUAGACUGGUAGAAAAGUAUAGAGAAAGGAAGAGAGACCUUCACAUGGUGUUCAUUGACCUUGAAAAGGCCUAUGACAAAGUACCGAGGAAUGUCCUCUGGAGGUGCUUGGAGUCUAAAGGAGUCCCGAUGAUUUAUAUUAGGGCGAUAAAGGACAUGUACGGUGGAGCCAAGACUCGGGUUAGAACAGUUGGAGGAGACUCAGAACAUUUCCCAGUUGAGAUGGGGCUGCACCAGGGAUCAGUCCUAAGCCCUUUCCUAUUUGCUUUGGUGAUGGACGAGUUAACGCGGUCUAUUCAGGAGGAGGUCCCAUGGUGUAUGUUAUUUGCGGAUGACAUAGUACUGAUUGAUGAGACGCGGGACAGAGUUAAUGCGCGGUUGGAGGUGUGGAGACAAACGCUGGAGUCCAAAGGGUUCAGGUUGAGUAGGACCAAAACAGAAUAUUUGGGGUGCAAAUUCAGUGAUGUGGUAGAUGAGACAGAUGUGGAAGUGAGACUUGCCGCACAAGUCAUUCCUAAGAAGGAAAGUUUUAAGUAUCUUGGGGCUGUAAUCCAAGGGAGUGGNNNNNNNNNNNNNNNNNNNNNNNNNNNNNNNNNNNNNNNNNNNNNNNNNNNNNNNNNNNNNNNNNNNNNNNNNNNNNNNNNNNNNNNNNNNNNNNNNNNNNNNNNNNNNNNNNNNNNNNNNNNNNNNNNNNNNNNNNNNNNNNNNNNNNNNNNNNNNNNNNNNNNNNNNNNNNNNNNNNNNNNNNNNNNNNNNNNNNNNNNNNNNNNNNNNNNNNNNNNNNNNNNNNNNNNNNNNNNNNNNNNNNNNNNNNNNNNNNNNNNNNNNNNNNNNNNNNNNNNNNNNNNNNNNNNNNNNNNNNNNNNNNNNNNNNNNNNNNNNNNNNNNNNNNNNNNNNNNNNNNNNNNNNNNNNNNNNNNNNNNNNNNNNNNNNNNNNNNNNNNNNNNNNNNNNNNNNNNNNNNNNNNNNNNNNNNNNNNNNNNNNNNNNNNNNNNNNNNNNNNNNNNNNNNNNNNNNNNNNNNNNNNNNNNNNNNNNNNNNNNNNNNNNNNNNNNNNNNNNNNNNNNNNNNNNNNNNNNNNNNNNNNNNNNNNNNNNNNNNNNNNNNNNNNNNNNNNNNNNNNNNNNNNNNNNNNNNNNNNGUUGUUGUUGUUGUUGUUGUUGUUGUGAUGCUCUUGCAGACAUAUAUGGGGACAUUGUUGCUUGGGCUAUGAUGGGCAGAAGCUACUUACUGCUAUUAAUUUGUUAGGAACCUAUUGGAUCAAGGAUGGUGAUAAGGUUUCUUCUCAUUUCAUCGUAUUUUCUCGGAAAGUUUUCUUUUAUCUAAUCUUUAUAUGGUUUGCUUAUGUUGCUUGUUGCUAAUGCACUGAAAUAUGCAAUCUGUAAAAGGAGAUUAUUAGAUUAGGAACCACAUUCCAAUAAUUUCCAGUCCAUCUUAUGUCCAGGCUUUGAAGAAACUUGAUUUUUUGUUGAGAUGAAUCAGGAUAUGUCAUUUUGCAGUUGAAUGUGUGUGGACUUGCACGGAUGGAGCUUAUAAGUCAGAAGUUUGGCUGUAAUUGUUCUGAUUUGCAUUUUUAUUGUUUCGAUGUAGGAGUCUUUGAUUGGAAACUAAAAAGCGGUGCAUAUGGUCUGAAGAGAGACAUGUAAAAGCAGGUUCAAUUACUAAGGCUCCAGAGAAUUCUGGUUCAUAUGAUUCUCCCAAACCAAAAGGCAACAGAUUAUCACUUACAAGUAAAGAGCUGAAUAUGGGCCAAAGCAGAGAACUCUGUUUAUUAUAAGUUAGAACUUUCUUUUGGAGAUUUUAGAUGGAUUAUCUUCCCACCUAAUGAGAUAUGUACAUUUUCCUCUAUGAAGCACAAGUGAAACUGUUUGAACAUUUCCUUGGCUCGCUAAUUCUUGAUGUUUUUGCAUGUGCAGCUCACUUUUAUGAUGCAUGUCUCCAUUAGUUACAAUCUGGUCAAAACGUGAUCAGAGAGAGGACCCUCAUGAAAAUGAAGCCAAGCAUGUAAGUUCUGUAUACUGGCUUUGUCAUUAUUGUUGGUUCAUCUGUUCUAAUAUUGCCCUUCACCCUAUUGCUUUGCUAUCAAUGCUUGAUUCUUCCAUAGAAUGCAAACACUCGGCCUUAGUUGUUGGACUUUUGGUUAUAAAAGUAGGAUCUUGUUCAUCUAGGUGUUCCCAUUUAUAGUUUCUAUACUGGAACAUUGACAUAUAUAUGUUCCAUUUAUAGUUUCUAUGCCGAUAUUUUCCCAAUACUGCUCAUCAUCAUACCGAUAUAAACCUGGCUAUGUUACUUUGUAUGAUCAUGCAGAAGAAUUGGAAGAAUGGACGUAGUGUUGCAGAGUUUAAUGCAUAUAUUUAUGAAAUGUUUAACUAUAUGUAUGGAUUUGUCUUGCAUAGAGGCACUGUAACUUGUAAGAGCAGUUUAGGUAAUAUCCUCUUUGUAAAUGCAUUUUUGCAGACCCAAAAGCUGUGGAAGCAGACAUCAGAGAGGUGAACGGGAGGGUAAUCACCAUCAAGAUGAUUUAUUAAAGAACCAUCAAACUAGUUUUAAUGACAACAGGUGUGUUGUAGCUAAUUGUGAAUCCAGGUUGGUUCCUUUGCUUAGAGGGUGGUUCCCAUACAAGUUAGCAAACCCAGAGAGCAGAAUAAAACAGAAGAGCAGUGCAUCGCGAUCACACGAAUGGAAAGCAUUCACCUCUAGUUGAUAGAAAAUUAGUAAUUUGUAUCAUCUGUUCCAUUUCCUCAUUUGCAGAUGACAGUCAAUUAGUUGUGCAACAUGAUUUUACUUGGGGUUUGGCAUAAAAAAAAAGUCUUGGGAUUGUGUAAAAGAGCACCCCCACUCCCCAAUUUCCUCUCCAUGUACACUAGUUUCUAGGUUCUGUGUAAUCAAAUCUUGAUUUUCAUCAUUUUGCCUAAGAACACAAAUGCACUAAUAUCUCUUGGUCAUUACCUCAUUGGUUAGGGCAAAUCCAUCUAUCAUCACACUUAACUUCUGCAAUCUGGUUUGGGAUCUCCAUGGUUAUUAAGAAAAAGUUUAACUUCUUAUGCAUUGACGGUGUAAAAAAAUUACUCAUACCAUCAGGUUAAUCAGGAGGUAAGGUAACUACAUGUAAAUCAUACGAUAAGCAUUAGUUGAUAAUCAAAUAAAAACAUUAACUAACCUAUCAUCAAAGGUUAAACUACACUGAUAGCAUAAAAAAUCUUUACUCUAUUUGGUGUAAUAACUUAAAUCCAAGUUACAAAAUUGGUAUAUGAAUUAACUUGUGCAUCACAAUUCACAAACUUUCAGUCACUCCUUAGUGAAUAAAACCAAAAGGCUACUUACAACUAAUUACAAUUUUGUGCAUAUCAAAUGCCAAUGCCUUUGGUUUAUUAGAAUUACUUAAAUAAAUACUCACAGAAAAAGAAAAAAAAAGACCAGUUGCACACCCAUCUCAGCCUCAUAAUAUUGUGUGGGCAUAGAUUGAGAUAGCCUUUCUAAGACUUUCCUUCUUCCCUUCUAAAACCACCAAAUAAAAAAUCUAGAAUCAAACCCUCUAAAAAAUCCCAAGUUCUAAGAAGCCAUGGCCAACAUGAUGAUGAGCUCCUCCAAAGCCUUAAUCACUUCUUCAUCCUCCACCAUUCCUCCAUCUCCAAGAUUCAAACUUUCCCUCACCCAAAUCCCUUUUCCAAAACUACCCCUCCCAAAAUCACCCAAAACCCUUGAAACCCUCUCAAUCCCAUCAACUCUCAAGUCCAUUUCAGUCAUUCUUGCAAGCUCAUUGGCCAUGGCACCACCUUCACUAGCAGAAGAAAUUGAAAAAGCUUCCCUUUUUGACUUCAACCUGACACUCCCCAUCAUGAUGGCUGAAUUCCUCUUUCUCAUGUUUGCUUUAGACAAGAUUUACUUCAGCCCAUUAGGGAAAUUCAUGGAUGAAAGAGAUUCUUCCAUUAAGGAGAAACUUAGCAGUGUAAAGGACACAUCUGCUGAAGUGAAGCAACUGGAAGACCAAGCUGCUGCAAUUAUGAAGGCUGCAAGGGCUGAGAUAUCAGCAGCAUUGAACAAGAUGAAGAAAGAGACUCAGCAAGAAGUAGAACAGAAGAUUGCAGAAGGAAGGAAGAAAGUUGAGGCUGAAUU
This 39213-nucleotide long non-coding RNA is filed under the name Solanum tuberosum (potato). RNAcentral describes it as "long non-coding RNA (STUB_LNC006668)". Lineage: Eukaryota; Viridiplantae; Streptophyta; Magnoliopsida; Solanales; Solanaceae. The record is from RNAcentral.